Molecule: ribosomal RNA, 637 nt
Filed under: uncultured bacterium
Lineage: Bacteria
Description: bacterial SSU rRNA
Rfam family: Bacterial small subunit ribosomal RNA
Source: RNAcentral
CGCGGCCUAUCAGCUUGUUGGUGAGGUAACGGCUCACCAAGGCUUCGACGGGUAGCUGGUCUGAGAGGACGAUCAGCCACACUGGGACUGAGACACGGCCCAGACUCCUACGGGAGGCAGCAGUGGGGAAUCUUGCACAAUAGGCGAAAGCCUGAUGCAGCAACGCCGCGUGAGGGACGAAGGCUUUCUGAGUUGUAAACCUCUUUCAGCAGGGACGAUUGUGACGGUACCUGCAGAAGAAGCCCCGGCCAACUACGUGCCAGCAGCCGCGGUAAUACGUAGGGGGCAAGCGUUGUCCGGAUUUAUUGGGCGUAAAGAGCUCGUAGGCGGCUUGGCAAGUCGGAUGUGAAACCUCCAGGCUCAACCUGGAGUCGCCAUUCGAUACUGCCAUGGCUAGAGUUUGGUAGGGGACCACGGAAUUCCUGGUGUAGCGGUGAAAUGCGCAGAUAUCAGGAGGAACACCAGCGGCGAAGGCGGUGGUCUGGGCCAAUACUGACGCUGAGGAGCGAAAGCGUGGGGAGCGAACAGGAUUAGAUACCCUGGUAGUCCACGCCGUAAACGUUGGGCACUAGGUGUGGGGACCUAUCGACGGUUUCUGCGCCGCAGCUAACGCAUUAAGUGCCCCGCCUGGGGAGUA